This 919-nucleotide ribosomal RNA is filed under the name uncultured bacterium. RNAcentral's name for it is "bacterial SSU rRNA". It matches the Rfam family "Bacterial small subunit ribosomal RNA", at positions 551 to 1490 of the family's 1533-position model. The record is from RNAcentral.
UUACUGGGCGUAAAGCGCGCGUAGGCGGACCACCAAGUUGGAUGUGAAAUCCCGGGGCUCAACUCCGGAACUGCAUUCAAAACUGUUGGUCUAGAGGCCAGGAGAGGUCAGUGGAAUACCGAGUGUAGAGGUGAAAUUCGUAGAUAUUCGGUGGAACACCAGUGGCGAAGGCGACUGACUGGACUGGUACUGACGCUGAGGUGCGAAAGUGUGGGGAGCAAACAGGAUUAGAUACCCUGGUAGUCCACACCGUAAACGAUGAAUGCUAGUUGUCUGCAUGCAUGCAUGUAGGUGACGCAGCUAACGCAUUAAGCAUUCCGCCUGGGGAGUACGGCCGCAAGGUUAAAACUCAAAGAAAUUGACGGGGGCCCGCACAAGCGGUGGAGCAUGUGGUUUAAUUCGAAGCAACGCGCAGAACCUUACCCACGUUUGACAUGCCCUGUUUGGUUAGUGGAGACACUCUCCUUGGUUCGUCCGCAGGUGCACAGGUGCUGCAUGGCUGUCGUCAGCUCGUGUCGUGAGAUGUUGGGUUAAGUCCCGCAACGAGCGCAACCCUCACCCUUAGUUGCCAUCAGGUUUGGCUGGGCACUCUAAGGGAACUGCCGGUGGCAAGCCGGAGGAAGGUGGGGAUGACGUCAAGUCCUCAUGGCCCUUACGCGUGGGGCUACACACGUGCUACAAUGGUAGUGACAAUGGGAUAAUCCCAAAAAGCUAUCUCAGUUCGGAUUGUCGUCUGCAACUCGACGGCAUGAAGUUGGAAUCGCUAGUAAUCGUGGAUCAGCAUGCCACGGUGAAUACGUUCCCGGGCCUUGUACACACCGCCCGUCACAUCAUGGGAGUUGGGUCUACCCGACGGCCGUGCGCCAACCUUUUGGAGGCAGCGGACCACGGUAGGCUCAGCGACUGGGGUGAAGUCGUA